Corylus avellana is the source of this 516-nucleotide non-coding RNA. Lineage: Eukaryota; Viridiplantae; Streptophyta; Magnoliopsida; Fagales; Betulaceae. The record is from RefSeq and is a predicted model, not a curated record.
GUGCUUGCAGUUUCUCUCACACUCACACUCACACUCACACAGAUUAAUUGAACUCGCAAAGCUAGGCUCUUCGAUCAGUUUAAUCAGAAAAAAGAAAAAGUUAUAGAAACAUGUCGCGGGGCACAGCUAACUGCGUAGACAUCAUUUUGGCGAUCAUCUUGCCUCCUCUGGGUGUCUUUCUCAAGUUUGGUUGCAACGUGCAGUUCUGGAUCUGUUUGUUGCUCACCAUUUUCGGGUACCUCCCUGGGAUUAUUUAUGCUGUCUAUAUCAUCACCAAGUGAAGUUCAAUUUUGGUGGAUGUGGAGGUGUGUGAAGAUUCCAUAUGUCUUUUGGUGUCUGAUUUCAAUAACCGUUGGGUGGACGGUUUAUGCUUCGUUAAAUGUCUUUUGUGUAUUUGGCUUAUCCUUUUCCCCUCUAUUUUAUUAUAUGCUGUAAAGGUAGAAUAUUAGUUUUUUGAGUAGAGACUUAUGAUGACGGGCAUCAAUUGUCAUUUAUCUUACAACUUUGUUAUUUUAA